RNAcentral lists this microRNA (21 nucleotides) under Gorilla gorilla (western gorilla). RNAcentral describes it as "ggo-miR-487a". Its record names the gene ggo-miR-487a. Lineage: Eukaryota; Metazoa; Chordata; Mammalia; Primates; Hominidae. RNAcentral also lists the same sequence under 3 other names. The record is from miRBase by way of RNAcentral.
AAUCAUACAGGGACAUCCAGU